AAAUAAUAUAAGUAUAAAGAUAGAUAGAAAUACUUAUCAAGAUAAAUGGGGGUGCUCUCCCCCAAGCUGUAUUUUGACGUAAUUUCUCUUGAUGUAGCUAACAGGUGGCAGAGGUGUAUUUAAAAGUCAGCAGCAUUCUGACAGCGAUUAGAAUGUCCUCCGUCUGCUAGUCUUCUUAAUUCUUAAAUUCUGUGGAGCUCAAAUAGACAACAAAGCUUGUGGAACUGAUUAAGUGUUAGCAUAAAUAUCUAGCCUUUAUUAUCUUGAGACUCCUUAAUAAAUAUUACUCCCUGUUUUUAUAUUUUUGUUUUAUAAAGCAGAAAAAUAAUUAUUUUAUUUUUAUGCCACCACAGUGAAUGUACUUAUGGGUUUUAUGCCACUCGUCUACUCACAUGGGGCUUACUGUUUUUCACAUUUUUUUUCUUUUUAGGACAGUAUGAACUUAAUUAACUAAGUAACUAUGUUAAAUAAUUGAAAGGGAAAGGAUAACUACCAAGUUUACCUCUUGGCAAGGCGUUCGGUGUUUUUAAGUCCUCCGAACGGGACUCUCCAAUUUCUUAAUCGUCCUGAGGUUCGUUGGGUGACGUAGUCGGUACUUCCGGCAGCGCCUCCUCUUCAUGUAUAGUUAUCUUCAUUUUCCACACCUGACUUGGUGCUUCAAUCUCCUUGGGAUAAUUCUGUUUAAACUCAACGUCUUCUGAUCUUACAACUUCUCCUUCAUAGUUGUUGACACUAGCUAACACCACUUAGAUACUAGGUUGUCAUCCCUAGCAUGGCGCCAGAGUCUACAAAGGUAUUUAUAAAUGUAAAGGCUCUCUAGAAAAUAAUCUAUUCUAUCCGCAAGCGCACAGAUAAAACACCUCAUUGUAGCAUUUCACCAGGAUAAGUAUUCCAGGUAUCGUUAUUUAUAAUUUUGCUUAGGGGAUCUUAAGAAGAUGGAAUUAAAUCAAAGGGGCAAAAUCUAUCAAGGCAUAGACUAGAGAUAAACUUGCAAGAACAUGAUUACUAAUAAGAAACUCGUCACACAGUCACAUACUCUAGCAGGGGGUAAACCAUAAAGAUAAUGAUAAUAAAGUAUAAGUUCAUGGGAUAAAGAGCACAGCGAUUAGAAAAUAGACUACUCCUCAUAUAUGUAGGUGAUGUCGGAUUAGCUAGAGAAUGGAUUCUAAGUUAUCUACUAACUACUAAGUCAUAAUCUACUCUAGUUAUCUACAAGAUCAUAUAUAGCAUAAAAGACUCUUCAUUCAUGUAUAAGGAACAUUGAUAAAGUAAAUCAGAACAUCGCAUGACUUACUCCACAAUACCGGUUCUGCCUGUCCUAUCAACGGAGGGUGGACUAUAUAAGAAUCAACGAAGCUGUCACUAUCGCGAACUACCACAUGACUCGGCACCACGAUAGGAUACAUUUGCAGAUAAAUAACAUCUAAGCACCACGCUCACAUGUGAUCUAUCACCUAACUCCCUCGCGUCAAGAGCUAAGCGCUUUGCAAACUUAUACAUAAACUCAUUAUCAAUUAGAACUAUAUCAAAUAUAGAACUAGAGCAAACUAAGAACAUAAUAAUUAGAGACAUAAUGCAAUUAGAACAAUAGAAUUAGAGAAAGAUAUGAAUAAUACCAAUCUUUAUUACCGAAGAUCCGAAUCCAGAGCGUAGUGCUCUACUUCUCUAAUUGCUAUCUAAUCAAACCUCUAAACUUGAAGGAUUAGGGAGUAGCUAAUUCUAAUUCUCUGUGGGAGAGAAGCUCUAAACCCUAACUUUGAUGGCUACCUCUGAAUAAUGAUUUCUCCUCCUCUCCUCCAGGGGCCAGGGGGUCUGGUUUUAUAGUCCCCUCAAGUGAACGUGAGCCAUUGGAUCAAACCGACAUAGAUUGUAUGGUUUAGAUUGAUCCUUUAGGUCGGUGGAGCGUAGUCCCGAAGCAGAGUCCUGAUUGGCCUCCUGGCCAGGGCGGGCGCCCAAGGGGGGUGGGCGGCCGCCCAGCUCCCGAGCCCGAUUCGCGUCCCGUUCGUUCCCGUGGCUUCUGGAUCCUUCUAGAUUGAGGAAAAUUGCGUGGCACGUAAUUAUCUCGUUGUAAACAUGACAUGCGGGCCUUCUCUCCAUAUUUUCUGAUAAACCCCUGCAGAAAUAGAUAAACACCAAAGCUCGUCGAAUUCUGUCAGAUAAAACCCUAAUUCUAGAUGUUUGUUUCAUAUUGAUCCUUUUUCAUGUUUAUUUGGUUAUUAAUUUUAGUACUUAAGGACCGUCAACAAACUCCCCCAAGCUUACCCUUUGCUCGUCCCUGAGCAAAUAGCUAAUCUCAGACGGAUCAGGAGUUGCUUCGAUGUUUUCUUUCCUGACAGGCACACAUGCUUUUAGAUAAAAAUUCUUCCAGAUUAGAGUGAAGUGUUAUGAAGUUUAGUACUUAAGUCUUAAGUAAUCGAAAGACAAAAUAGUUAAGUCAAGCACUAUCCCUCCUGUCUAUACUUCACCUUUGUUCUAGAGUUUUUCAUAAGUUUUCAAAAUAAAACCCAGAGUUCCUAGCAAUGAUUCUCUCAAGUCUCUCUAUAUUUGGUAUUUGUGGAUCCUUACCAUAAUGUCACUUACCUAUAGCUAAUGAAAUAUUUAAGUGGAGCUCAUAGGAGUGAAAAACAGCUCAUACAUAUGUUGUCUAAUCGAGCGUUGGAUCCAAAGGAACUCAGCAUAUAAUUAAAUCAAGAUGUGCAUGUGUGGUGGAGUAAAUGAUAGUGAUGGUGAAAAUGCAAUAGUGUUAAUAAAUCUUAGUUCUCAUUGCUCCUCAUAUUGCUAUAUCUCCUCCUCUUUGAUCUUUGCUUUGGGAGAACAUGGGCUAUCUCUUUUUUUUUCAGGUGGGUAAUAGAUACCCCUAAUUCUACUGUCGGACACUUGUCCAUUUUUUUCCGCUCAAGUGGGCAUCUUUGUACCCCUAAUUCUACUUCAGACACUUGUCCAUUUUUACCUCUCGUCUCACUCUUUUUCUUUCUUUUCCGAGGUUCCGGGCACUUGCCCCUUUUUAUUUCCUCGUAUGUUUUUGCAUAACCCAUGCCUCUUCUACAUUGAAUCUUUUUAGAGAGAGAAUAACAAUACUUGGGACAGUGAGUGAUAAUAUAUUUUUUUUAGCAAUUUUAAUGAUUAAUGUUGUGGUAGAUGCGUGCAAGUGAAUAUCUUAAUUUAACCACAUGAAAAGCUCCUAAGGGUCUACACAGCUCGAUCAAACUCAAUGUAAAUAUAGUAAAAGAUGUUAUAGCAAGUAUGGCUGUGGUAGGUAGUUUUGUAUGCUAGGAACUCAUCAUGUGAUUUGUAAGUUUUCAAAAAUAAAUCUCCAGAACUUAGUGUAGUAGGAACAAGAUAAACAGUAGCUCAACUUUAUAUCAUGUCUUUCUCUUACCUAGACUUUAGUUUUAUGCUUCCCAAAGAUAGUAAUUUUAAUUUUAGUAAUUCCCGGAAGAAUUCUAAUAUAAAAGCUAGGUACUUGUAAGUAAGCAAACAGAGCAACUGUUCAUCAUUUCCAUCAUGCAUAUUUUUGGUCUUUUUAUUUUUUCUAGAGAUUAAACUUAGCAGGAAAAUAAAGCACACUUAUCUACACACUAUUUUUAUUUUGUUUUCAUGUUUAUUAAAGUGCAGUGAAUAAAAGCAAGAAAAUAUUUAUUUGGUUUUCUAAGUUUUUCCUUUUAAGAUAAAUUAAAUACUAAGACAGAAUAGAAUAAAUAAGAAGAGCAAAUAAAAACUUACUUGAUAAAUUUGGGAGGAACUCCCCCAAGCUGGAUGUUGAUGUCGGUCUUACCCGAUGUUCCAGAACCGCACCAUGGUUGUGAUGUUAUCGUUCAUUGUUGUUGUAUCUUGUCUUAGCUCUUCUACUGCAGUGGCAUGGUCCUGGUUCCAUUUUUGUUGCUCUUCCAGGAGUCUUCCAUGUUCUGCUUGCGUGUUCUGGAUGUCGAGGAGGGUGUUGUCGGUACGAGUGAAGAAAGCACCGGCCUCUUGAUAGUAGUCAUUCGUGAAGGCGUAGGAGGCGUCGGAGUAUCGUCCUGCUUCAAAUUGGGGUGGAGGUCUGGAUCCUGAAGCUCCAUAUGGAUCAGUGGAAUACCUGCCCGUAUGAAAAGGCAGGUUUGUCCACUGGUGAUCUUGGCUCUCCGGCCAUGUCUCCUCUGUUGGCUCUUGUGGUUGCGCAUGACAAGCCCAUGGGUCUCGAAGGACUCGUGGAUUGUAAUCGCAAUAAUGCAGGUGCGCUGCUUCUUCUAGUCCAGGGUCAGCUCCAUACCAGGUGCGUUCUUGGUGAGUGGUUAUCCUUUCAGAUGCCACUCGCUGUGGAGUUCUCGGGUUCACUGGUGUUGCUGCAAUCUCAAUCAAAAAGUUUUGCACAGUGUAGAGGCAAAGGUUCGGGUUAGGUAACCGAAUCUUGCCUUUAUCAUCAUACAGCAUAUACAUUAUAUUCCCCUCUUUCUUUAACAUCUGAGCUUGUCUAAAUGUGUCAUAGCCAUGAUAAAUUCUUAAUUCUUCUAUGCAGUCCAACGAUGAGUUUUCUAGUAAGUGAAGAUUAGUGGCUAGACGAGUGAUAAGUGAAGUACAUCCUACUGGUCCCUGAAGACUAGGUAUACUAAGCCAAUGUGAAACUAAUAGUGUAACAGGUGAAGUAGGUACUUUACUAAUAGCAGCAUAUAAAAGUUGUAAAUCUCCUACUCUUACUUUCCUAAUAUCGUCACGAUAGAAAAUAUUGUACCCAAGCCAUUUGUGGAACAUCCUAAGAGUGGGGUGUUCCAUGUCACUGGUUCGGGCUUGACUGUAAAAAUUAUCUCUAGAUAUUUCUCUCCAACACUGGUGUCUCUCAAAGUUGGGUAAAUCGGAGUCAAUGUUUAGGAUGCAUCUUGAAGAGAAACCAAGAUGGUCGCUCAGUUCUCUCCAAGAUAACAUAAUUUCCUGUUUAAACAUCCGAAAAACAAUCCCCCCCUCAUAGUAUUGUAAGGUGCAAAGAAAUUCGAGGGUGAGAAGACGAGAACCCAGCUCAGUUAUAUUCCAAAAAUUUGUCCAACCCAUCAUCUGAAAAAUUAAGUCAAAUUCAGUGUCCAUACCUGUUUCUUGUAGUAGGGUUGGAUCGAGAGUAGGGGUGUGAAUGAAAUCUUUAUUCUUUAAUUGCUGAUAAACUUCCUUCUCUCUUCGGGUCUUCAGUCCUAGGUCUCCUAUCUUGAGAAGGACCUUGACUUGCUGGCCUGAUGAAGAUGAUGGAGCUUGUGUGGGUGUAGGAUCGACGCUCAUCUCUGAUGGCUGUGAGGAGUGUCGGGUUGAACUCCUUGUACCAAUGUUCUUGAGAGCCUUCCCUGCAUUCUUCACCUUCUUAAACAUCCUGCAAACAAAAGUUGGCAAAAACACAACUGGUGGAAAAUAUGAGAUAAAAUGUUAGUGGUCAGCUGUCCGGAGUGUCAGUAGUCCAGGGGUUAAUCGUUCAAGACAAGUUUCUAUUUUGGUAGAGCCUCCCCCUAAACAACUUUUACUUUCGCUUAGACAACGGGAUCACUACUUGCUAGGUGACAAUCACUCUCUCAAAAGAACUCCAACCUUCCCUUCCACUCUCCUCUUUCUCUCUACUCUCUUCUCUUCACUACAAGAACUCCUUCUCGGGAAACUAAGAUUUGCGUGGUUUUCUGAAGUGUUUGUGUGAAGAGAAGGGAGCUGAAGGUGGCCUUUUAUAGGCUGAGCAGGGGACAGGGCGGGCGCCCAAGGUAGGUGGGCGGGCGCCCACCCCUGGUGUCCAUCCUGGGUGUGCCUCCUCCACUUGCUUCCUUGCUUUGAUCUCACGCAGAAUAAUAUUGUGUUGGUAGUGGUUGGACGGUGGAAAGAUGUCAGGUGAGUGGAAACAUAUUGGUAGAUGAAAUUAUAUGAUGGGAUGUAUGUGAGGUGAAGUGUAUGACAUGUGGGACCCAAAGAGUGUGGGUCAUGCUUCUAGAAGAUCAAUAUAAUGCAGGAAAAUCUAUGAGAAUUGAAUCUUAAUGAAAAUGAUAUUAGAAAAUAUUUUUGUGCCUCCAUAAUAAUUAAUAAAUAUGGGUUGUUACACACCACGAAUAUUAUUUAUAUGGGGCUUUUUGAUUAUUAUAAUUAUGCUAUGAAUAUAUGUGACUAAUGCAAGAUUUAAUUAUGCAAGAAGUUAAAUAUGAGAAAAUUAAUAAUGUGGAUAAAUACCGAUUUACCUCCCGGUGAGGGUUUGGGAUUUUUAGGUCCCCCAAGCUGGACCUCCAAAUCUUUUAAUCUUCUGAGUUACCUUCCUCCGGAGAUGGUGUCUCCAGUGGUUCUUCGUGAACUUCCUUCACUGUAGAGUCUCUCUCUGGUCUGGGUUUGAAUGUGAAGUGUUCUUCUUGACCGUUUAUGUUGAACUUGAUUUCUCCUUUUCCGACAUCAAUGUGGGCAUUGGCAGUGCUCAGAAAUGGCCUUCCAAGGAUGAUGGACACUUUCGAGUCAGGACUCAUGUCCAGUACUACGAAGUCUACUGGCACAAGAAAAUCUCUGAUCUUGACUGGAAUGUUCUCGGCGAUGCCCAACGGGUGUCGAACCGAUUGAUUCGCUAGUUGUAGAUAUAUUGAUGUUGGUUCUAAAGUUGCAUGCUCAGGCUUUUUGUAGACUAAUGCUGGCAUCACACUAACACUUGCUCCGAGAUCACAAAGUGCAUUGUUGAAGUGUUGGUUUCCGAUCGAGCAAUCGAUAGUGGGACAUCCGGGAUCUUCCUUCUUCUUUGGUGGUUUGUUGAGGAUGGCCGCACUACAUUCUUCUGUCAGCUUGAUAACCUCAGUGGUGGGCAGUGGUCUCUUCUUGUUAAGAAUAUCUCUGAUGUACUUUGCAUAUGUAGGUACCUGUAUGGCAUCGAGCAGAGGUAUGUUGACAUAUAAUUUCUGAAUGACCUCUACAAACUUACCAAACUGCUCAUCCGACUACAGUCCUCUGUUUCUUCUGGGAAAUGGCAAAUAGUUGGUGUCGUAAAAAUCUUUCCUCAUUUCUCCAGUUCUUGGUGGUUGGAGCAGAUCUUCUGCUUCAAUUGGGCUUUCUUCUUCUAUCACUGCUGGUUGCACUGGUGCUGAUGAUCUUUGUUUCUCUUUUGGGUAUGGUGGAUCUCUGGUAGCUUUACCUCCUCUAGUAGUUAUAUUCUUUACCUGCUCAAGGUUAGUAGCAACAGGCAGUGCAGCAGCUAUCUUUAUUAAUUUAAGCUCUACCCUUUUAUUAAGAGUGUUUUGCUCAUCAAAGGCAGUUAGUAGAAAAUCCAUUUUAUUGUGUAUAUCUUUUAGAGAUGAUUCAUUUGUAUCUAGCCUUUGUUUAACUCCAUCAUUAAUUUUGGUUUGUUGAGCAAUUAUCUCUUUUAAUGAAAGUUGCUUGAUAGUAUUACCUAAAUUCAUACCUUUGCUAUUGGGUUGACUCGAAGUUGGUUGAUAUUUGUAUGUUGUCUCAAUAGCCCUUUGAUCUUCUUUGAACUUGGCCCUCUGGUCAAUCCAAUGGAGCAAAUUUUCCAUCUUAGUUGAUAAUGCAUUUACUUCUUCUGGUAUUUCUUCAGUUUGAUGACAAUGUUGAGCUUUAUCUUGGAACCAGCUUUGGUUUUCUGCUAUCUUAUCCAAAAGUAUCUCUGCUUUUCCAGUUGUAAGCUCCAAGAAUGAUCAUUUAGCAGAUGCAUCUAUGCACUCACGAGCCUUCUGGGUUAAUCCAUGGUAGAAGGUCUGCAUAAGUAACCAUGUGGCCAUUCCAUGGUGAGGACAAUCUGAUAUGUAUCCUUGAAAACGCUCCCAUGCUUCUGAAAUGGCUUCUGUCUUCUGCUGUUGGAAACUGACAAUAUUUCCUCUUAAGGCAGUUGUUUUGCCUAUAGGGAAAAACUUUGAUAGAAAGGCAUCUGACAAGUUCGUCCAGUUGUUGAUGUUAUCUUGAUGAGUGUAGAACCACUUCCUCGCUUUCCCUUCUAGUGAGAAUGGAAAAAGGCGAAGUAGUAUGACGUCUUUGUCAACUCCGUUGAUGUGGAUUGUGCUUCCAAUUUCUAAGAAAUUCUGCAAGUGUGCACUGGCAUCUUCAUGUGCCUUUCCACUGAAUUGUGUAGCUUGCACCAAAUUGAUGAGGCUUGACUUGAGCUCAAACUCGGGUAUUCCUUCUUCUACUGCAAAUCUUGGACCGGUUGGAAUGUUGUCAAGACUUGGAGCAGAGAAUUCUUGCAAGGUCUUUUCUGCCAUAGCUUCAGCAAUUGGUAGCUAGCUUCUUCUUUUCUUGAUUGCUUUGGUUCUGAUGAUGUAGAGUUGAAUGUACCCAAAGUCAAUCCUGUUAUACCCUGUAUAAAAAUAUAAACAUAGAAAAACAACAGGGUGAACCUGCCAAAGCAGCGGUGCCUUGUUAUGAUUUCUCACUUAGUAGCUGUUUUAUGCAAUUAUUUCUCUAGUCUAGUCUAAUAUUUUAUAUGAAUAACCUUGAUUGAUUUUCUGGCUUUCCUUAAUAUUACCCUUUUGUUCCCUUUUAUGACUUAUUCUUGAGACUCAUAUAAUUCCUAUAAGAUGUCCUAUAGAUCCUAUAAGUCCUAUAGCUCCCCGGCAACGACGCCAGAAAUGCUUGUUGACACUAGCUAACACCACUUAGAUACUUGGUUGUCAUCCCUAGCAUGGCGCCAGAGUGUACAAAGGUAUUUAUAAAUGUAAAGGCUCUCUAGAAAAUAAUCUAUUCUAUCCGCAAGCGCACAGAUAAAACACCUCAUUGUAGCAUUUCACCAGGAUAAGUAUUCCAGGUAUCGUUAUUUAUAAUUUUGCUUAGGGGAUCUUAAGAAGAUGGAAUU
Molecule: long non-coding RNA, 8770 nt
Filed under: Sorghum bicolor (sorghum)
Lineage: Eukaryota; Viridiplantae; Streptophyta; Magnoliopsida; Poales; Poaceae
Description: long non-coding RNA (SBIC_LNC012636)
Rfam family: Plant small nucleolar RNA R71 (bases 7703-7809)
Source: RNAcentral